This is a long non-coding RNA of Leopardus geoffroyi (Geoffroy's cat), 1261 nucleotides long. RefSeq lists it as uncharacterized. The record is from RefSeq and is a predicted model, not a curated record. NCBI's taxonomy places the organism in Eukaryota, Metazoa, Chordata, Mammalia, Carnivora, Felidae. The transcript has 2 exons.
CGGUGGCGGCUAAGGGCGUGGGCGUUGGUGACAGUCAUGGGUUGGAAUCGUGCUUUGUAACUUAUUAGCUAUGUGGCCCUGAGAAAGUCGCUGCACCUCUUAGAGCCUCAGUUUCCCUGUCUGUAGAACGGGCUCAUCGCCUGCCCCACACUGUUGCUUUGAAAAGGAAACGCGCACGCAAGUGCCUUGAGCACAGCAGCUGGGCCGAUUUUAAGCGCUCAAAAUACGGUAGCGAUCAUGAUGAUUGCAUCGUGAAGAUAAGGAAAUGACAAGUGCUAUCCGUGCCUGGUGGUAACUCAGUGGCUCUAGGAAGAAGAGUAAAUAUGGACGCAAUUUAUCACUCGGAGCGCCCUGCUAUCAGAGACAGAUGCCGUCAGUUAAAUAAAACAGACCCGAAGACCUGCCAGAAAGAUCAACCCGAGAAACAAUUGGCUAAUUUGCUGAUCGGCAGUGGACAGUGGGCCUUUGGUGACACACACACCAGCCAUAUCUUUCUGCUAAUUCUUACCCGAGUUACACGUUGCUUUUUGCACCCAGCGGGAGAAGAGACACUGAGCGUCUUUAACCGAAAAACGUAACAGAGGUAGGUCCAACCCUGCAAAAGCCGUACGACUGCGGCUUUACUGCAAGGGGCCACCAGACAUCCCAGUUCGCCGGGGACCGUGGUUUUCCCUGGGGACGUAGGGCGUUCAGCGCCCAAUCCCGGACAAACAGGGAUGGUGGCCCCAGGUGCGAGUGACAGUCAACCCCAGGGGGAAGCAACAUUGGGUGAAAGCUGGCUUGUGCCUAGCCUUGAAGAAAUCCUACCUGCCCCCAUAUGGCAAAACAGACUGUGAACCCAUUAGCAGUAAGAAUGUGGGGUCACGUGGGACCUGUGCGGGAGGUGCACCAGCCAAGGUAAAAGUCCAGGGAGACCUCGGAGAGGCGAACGCGCGGGGGGCCGGAAGAGGAUCUUGGACAGACAGACAGCUUUUCGCUUCGCAGAGCCCUGCUGAUGCAAAACCGCGGAGCCCGGCCUCGCUCAUCGGACCCCAGACCCUCCGCCCCUUCCUCAGGAUAUAUCCGAGCGUGUGCUGUAUAAUCCGGGGCCGUAUCCACGAAAUGCACAUAAUUCUCCCCCUUCAGCUGUUGCCACUGCUUUCUGAGACUCCGUAUAUAAAUAUCUGUGCGUGUGCGUUUGUGUGUACAUUUCCUGACAUAUUUACGAAGUCUCAGUUUGCCAACCUUUGGGGCAUAAUGCAAGAACUAUUUUUCAUCCUAA